CCUACGGGAGGCAGCAGUAGGGAAUAUUGCUCAAUGGGGGAAACCCUGAAGCAGCAACGCCGCGUGGAGGAUGAAGGUUUUCGGAUUGUAAACUCUUUUUGUUAGAGAAGAUAAUGACGGUAUCUAACGAAUAAGCACCGGCUAACUCCGGGCCAGCAGCCGCGGUAAUACGGAGGGUGCAAGCGUUACUCGGAAUCACUGGGCGUAAAGGGCGCGUAGGCGGGAUAGCAAGUCAGAUGUGAAAUCCUAUGGCUUAACCAUAGAACUGCAUUUGAAACUGUUAUUCUAGAGUAUGGGAGAGGUAGGUGGAAUUCUUGGUGUAGGGGUAAAAUCCGUAGAGAUCAAGAGGAAUACUCAUUGCGAAGGCGACCUGCUAGAACGUAACUGACGCUGAUGCGCGAAAGCGUGGGGAGCAAACAGGAUUAGAUACCCUUGUAGUC
Molecule: ribosomal RNA, 440 nt
Filed under: uncultured bacterium
Lineage: Bacteria
Description: partial 16S ribosomal RNA
Rfam family: Bacterial small subunit ribosomal RNA
Source: RNAcentral